CCUACGGGUGGCAGCAGUGGGGAAUAUUGGGCAAUGGAGGCAACUCUGACCCAGCAACGCCGCGUGAAUGAUGAAGGUCUUCGGAUUGUAAAGUUCUUUUCUAAGGGAAGAAGAAAGUGACGGUACCUUAGGAAUAAGCCUCGGCUAACUACGUGCCAGCAGCCGCGGUAAUACGUAGGAGGCAAGCGUUAUCCGGAAUGACUGGGCGUAAAGGGUGCGUAGGUGGUUUGACAAGUUAGUAGCGAAACUCCGGAGCUGAACUUGGAUACUACUACGAAUACUGUUGGACUUGAGUGCAGGAGGGGCAAUCGGAAUUCCUAGUGUAGCGGUGGAAUGCGUAGAUAUUAGGAGGAACACCAGUGGCGAAGGCGGAUUGCUGGACUGUAACUGACGCUGAGGCACGAAAGCGUGGGGAGCAAACAGGAUUAGAUACCCGAGUAGUC
RNAcentral lists this ribosomal RNA (443 nucleotides) under uncultured bacterium. RNAcentral's name for it is "partial 16S ribosomal RNA". It matches the Rfam family "Bacterial small subunit ribosomal RNA", at positions 338 to 795 of the family's 1533-position model. The record is from RNAcentral.